CCGCAACUGUUCAAACUGAUAUAAACCAAAUACAGAGUGCCGCAACUGUUCAAACUGAUAUAAACCAAAUAUAGAGUGCCGCAACUGUUGAAACUGAUAUAAACCAAAUAUAGAGUGCCGCAACUGUUCAAACUGAUAUAAACCAAAUAUAGAGUGCCGCAACUGUUGAAACAAGGAUAUAAAUCAAAUAAAAAGUGCCGCACCUCUUCAAACAAAGCAUUUAAUGUCUACGACCCACGUAAAUUAUUGUCCGUCAAAUAACCACCUAUUCAGAGAACAUAAGCAGAAUCUUGAUAAGCAGAAUCUCUUUUUAAGGAACAGCAACGAAGUUGUGUCUUUGCAUUAAUAUUAUAAGGUCUAAAUUCCUGCCACGACCUUCUAAUGGAGUCAUAAUUAGGAAGGGCCCCACGCUCCCCCUUGACUGGGUUUGUUGGGCAGCAGAACACGUACGUAUUACAGUAUACAUGCGGUAUUGCUUUAAACUUUAAAGCCAUUUAGAUUCUUUGAGACAAUAAUCUGCUGGAUCAUAUAAUGGGACAUACGCAAGUCUUUGUCCUAAGAAUUUUUUUUUUUCAACCAGUCUCAAAUGAUACUAACUAACUUCUGAUCAAAGUCACGAUAAAGAAA
Long non-coding RNA from Eriocheir sinensis (Chinese mitten crab), 627 nucleotides. RefSeq lists it as uncharacterized. The record is from RefSeq and is a predicted model, not a curated record. Lineage: Eukaryota; Metazoa; Arthropoda; Malacostraca; Decapoda; Varunidae. The transcript has 2 exons.